Molecule: ribosomal RNA, 455 nt
Filed under: uncultured bacterium
Lineage: Bacteria
Description: partial 16S ribosomal RNA
Rfam family: Bacterial small subunit ribosomal RNA
Source: RNAcentral
GAUGAACGCUGGCGGCAUGCCUAAUACAUGCAAGUCGUGCGGAAACACUUCGGGUGUCGAGCGGCGGACGGGUGAGUAACACGUUAGUAUCUACCCCAAACUGAGGGAUAAGCCCGAGAAAUCGGGUCUAAUACCGCAUAUGGUCUUUGGAUUAAAGCCUUCGGGCGGUUUGGGAGGAGCUUGCGUCUGAUUAGCUAGUUGGUAAGGUAAUGGCUUACCAAGGCUACGAUCAGUAGCUGGUCUGAGAGGAUGAUCUGUCACACUGGAACUGGGACACGGUCCAGACUCCUACGGGAGGCAGCAGUAGGGAAUUUUCCACAAUGGGCGAAAGCCUGAUGGAGCAAUGCCGCGUGCAGGAUGAAUGCAUUCGGGUUGUAAACUGCUUUUAUGAGGGAAGAUUAUGACGGUACCUCAUGAAUAAGCCUCGGCUAACUCCGUGCCAGCAGCCGCCGUAA